Caenorhabditis brenneri is the source of this 72-nucleotide non-coding RNA. The record is from the annotation of a GenBank genome assembly. NCBI's taxonomy places the organism in Eukaryota, Metazoa, Nematoda, Chromadorea, Rhabditida, Rhabditidae.
GCGCGUGUGGUGUAGUGGCUAACACCGUUGUUUUCCAAUUUCUCAACGCGGGUUCGAUUCCCAAGGGGUGCA